UUUAUGGAGAGUUUGAUCCUGGCUCAGGAUGAACGCUGGCGGCGUGCCUAAUACAUGCAAGUCGAGCGAACGGACGAGAAGCUUGCUUCUCUGAUGUUAGCGGCGGACGGGUGAGUAACACGUGGAUAACCUACCUAUAAGACUGGGAUAACUUCGGGAAACCGGAGCUAAUACCGGAUAAUAUUUUGAACCGCAUGGUUCAAAAGUGAAAGACGGUCUUGCUGUCACUUAUAGAUGGAUCCGCGCUGCAUUAGCUAGUUGGUAAGGUAACGGCUUACCAAGGCAACGAUGCAUAGCCGACCUGAGAGGGUGAUCGGCCACACUGGAACUGAGACACGGUCCAGACUCCUACGGGAGGCAGCAGUAGGGAAUCUUCCGCAAUGGGCGAAAGCCUGACGGAGCAACGCCGCGUGAGUGAUGAAGGUCUUCGGAUCGUAAAACUCUGUUAUUAGGGAAGAACAUAUGUGUAAGUAACUGUGCACAUCUUGACGGUACCUAAUCAGAAAGCCACGGCUAACUACGUGCCAGCAGCCGCGGUAAUACGUAGGUGGCAAGCGUUAUCCGGAAUUAUUGGGCGUAAAGCGCGCGUAGACGGUUUUUUAAGUCUGAUGUGAAAGCCCACGGCUCAACCGUGGAGGGUCAUUGGAAACUGGAAAACUUGAGUGCAGAAGAGGAAAGUGGAAUUCCAUGUGUAGCGGUGAAAUGCGCAGAGAUAUGGAGGAACACCAGUGGCGAAGGCGACUUUCUGGUCUGUAACUGACGCUGAUGUGCGAAAGCGUGGGGAUCAAACAGGAUUAGAUACCCUGGUAGUCCACGCUGUAAACGAUGAGUGCUAAGUGUUAGGGGGUUUCCGCCCCUUAGUGCUGCAGCUAACGCAUUAAGCACUCCGCCUGGGGAGUACGACCGCAAGGUUGAAACUCAAAGGAAUUGACGGGGACCCGCACAAGCGGUGGAGCAUGUGGUUUAAUUCGAAGCAACGCGAAGAACCUUACCAAAUCUUGACAUCCUUUGACAACUCUAGAGAUAGAGCUUUCCCCUUCGGGGGACAAAGUGACAGGUGGUGCAUGGUUGUCGUCAGCUCGUGUCGUGAGAUGUUGGGUUAAGUCCCGCAACGAGCGCAACCCUUAAGCUUAGUUGCCAUCAUUAAGUUGGGCACUCUAAGUUGACUGCCGGUGACAAACCGGAGGAAGGUGGGGAUGACGUCAAAUCAUCAUGCCCCUUAUGAUUUGGGCUACACACGUGCUACAAUGGACAAUACAAAGGGCAGCGAAACCGCGAGGUCAAGCAAAUCCCAUAAAGUUGUUCUCAGUUCGGAUUGUAGUCUGCAACUCGACUACAUGAAGCUGGAAUCGCUAGUAAUCGUAGAUCAGCAUGCUACGGUGAAUACGUUCCCGGGUCUUGUACACACCGCCCGUCACACCACGAGAGUUUGUAACACCCGAAGCCGGUGGAGUAACCUUUUAGGAGCUACCCGUCGAAGGUGGGACAAAUGAUUGGGGUGAAGUCGUAACAAGGUAGCCGUAUCGGAAGGUGCGGCUGGAUCACCUCCUUU
Molecule: ribosomal RNA, 1552 nt
Filed under: Staphylococcus aureus
Lineage: Bacteria; Bacillati; Bacillota; Bacilli; Caryophanales; Staphylococcaceae
Description: 16S ribosomal RNA
Rfam family: Bacterial small subunit ribosomal RNA
Source: RNAcentral